This 252-nucleotide ribosomal RNA is filed under the name uncultured Intrasporangiaceae bacterium. Its description in RNAcentral is "partial 16S ribosomal RNA". It matches the Rfam family "Bacterial small subunit ribosomal RNA", at positions 526 to 777 of the family's 1533-position model. Lineage: Bacteria; Bacillati; Actinomycetota; Actinomycetes; Micrococcales; Intrasporangiaceae. The record is from RNAcentral.
CGUAGGGUGCGAGCGUUGUCCGGAAUUAUUGGGCGUAAAGAGCUUGUAGGCGGUUUGUCGCGUCUGCCGUGAAAAUCCGGGGCUCAACCCCGGACUUGCGGUGGGUACGGGCAGACUAGAGUGUGGUAGGGGAGACUGGAAUUCCUGGUGUAGCGGUGAAAUGCGCAGAUAUCAGGAGGAACACCGAUGGCGAAGGCAGGUCUCUGGGCCACUACUGACGCUGAGAAGCGAAAGCGUGGGGAGCGAACAGGA